Molecule: ribosomal RNA, 721 nt
Filed under: uncultured Nitrososphaerota archaeon
Lineage: Archaea; Thermoproteati; Nitrososphaerota
Description: bacterial SSU rRNA
Rfam family: Archaeal small subunit ribosomal RNA
Source: RNAcentral
UUGAUCCUGCCGGACCCGACUGCUAUCAGAAUAGGACUAAGCCAUGCGAGUCAACGUAGCAAUACGUGGCAUACGGCUCAGUAACACGUAGUCAACAUGCCCAGGGGACGUGGAUAACCUCGGGAAACUGAGGAUAAACCGCGAUAGGUCAUAAUAUCUGGAAUGAUUUCUGGCUUAAAUCUAUAUGGCCCCUGGAUUGGACUGCGGCCGAUCAGGCUGUUGGUGAGGUAAUGGCCCACCAAACCUAAAACCGGUACGGGCUCUGAGAGGAGAAGCCCGGAGAUGGGCACUGAGACAAGGGCCCAGGCCCUAUGGGGCGCAGCAGGCGCGAAAACUCUGCAAUAAGCGAAAGCUUGACAGGGUUAUUCUGAGUGAUUUCCGCUAAGGAAAUCUUUUGGCACCUCUAAAAAUGGUGCAGAAUAAGGGGUGGGCAAGCCUGGUGUCAGCCGCCGCGGUAAUACCAGCACCCCGAGUGGUCGGGACGAUUAUUGGGCCUAAAGCAUCCGUAGCCGGUUCUAUAAGUCUUCCGUUAAAUCCACCUGCUUAACAGAUGGGCUGCGGAGGAUACUAUGGAGCUAGGAGGCGGGAGAGGCAAGCGGUACUUAGUGGGUAGGGGUAAAAUCCGUUGAUCCAUUGAAGACCACCAGUGGCGAAGGCGGCUUGCCAGAACGCACUCGACGGUGAGGGAUGAAAGCUGGGGGAGCAAACCGGAUUAGAUACC